Molecule: ribosomal RNA, 465 nt
Filed under: Vreelandella stevensii
Lineage: Bacteria; Pseudomonadati; Pseudomonadota; Gammaproteobacteria; Oceanospirillales; Halomonadaceae
Description: partial 16S ribosomal RNA
Rfam family: Bacterial small subunit ribosomal RNA
Source: RNAcentral
CCUACGGGUGGCAGCAGUGGGGAAUAUUGGACAAUGGGCGAAAGCCUGAUCCAGCCAUGCCGCGUGUGUGAAGAAGGCCUUCGGGUUGUAAAGCACUUUCAGUGGGGAAGAAAGCCUUGGGGCUAAUACCCUCGAGGAAGGACAUCACCCACAGAAGAAGCACCGGCUAACUCCGUGCCAGCAGCCGCGGUAAUACGGAGGGUGCGAGCGUUAAUCGGAAUUACUGGGCGUAAAGCGCGCGUAGGUGGUCUGAUAAGCCGGUUGUGAAAGCCCCGGGCUCAACCUGGGAACGGCAUCCGGAACUGUCAGGCUAGAGUGCAGGAGAGGAAGGUAGAAUUCCCGGUGUAGCGGUGAAAUGCGUAGAGAUCGGGAGGAAUACCAGUGGCGAAGGCGGCCUUCUGGACUGACACUGACGCUGAGGUGCGAAAGCGUGGGUAGCAAACAGGAUUAGAUACCCCGGUAGUC